UCCGUUUUGUCAACGGCAGUCUCUCUAGAGUGCCCAACUAAAUGCUGGCAACUAAAGAUAAGGGUUGCGCUCGUUGCGGGACUUAACCCAACAUCUCACGACACGAGCUGACGACAACCAUGCACCACCUGUACAGGAUCCCUUGCGGACCCGACGUUUCUGCCGGUUUACCCUGUAUGUCAAGCCUUGGUAAGGUUCUUCGCGUUGCAUCGAAUUAAUCCGCAUGCUCCGCCGCUUGUGCGGGCCCCCGUCAAUUCCUUUGAGUUUUAGCCUUGCGGCCGUACUCCCCAGGCGGGGCGCUUAGUGCGUUAGCUGCGGCACGGAACUCGUGGAAUGAGCCCCACACCUAGCGCCCAACGUUUACGGCUAGGACUAC
RNAcentral lists this unclassified non-coding RNA (376 nucleotides) under uncultured Actinomycetes bacterium. RNAcentral describes it as "uncultured actinobacterium contains 16S-23S intergenic spacer region". Lineage: Bacteria; Bacillati; Actinomycetota; Actinomycetes. The record is from RNAcentral.